CCUGCUCUCAGCUCUGGGCCCCAUCCUGGCUCAUGAGAUCUUAAGCACUGACCAGGAUUUCCUUUACCAUUUAUUUUGACAAUAAGUACUCCCCCCAACCCCCAGUGCCAACCUUGGCUUCCCAUUAAAAUCACUGAGAGAUUUUUCAAAAUCCUGUUGCCGAGCUGCAAUAUCCUGGCCAAAUAAGUGAGAUUACCAGAAGUGGAUCUCAGGCUCGGGCAGAUUGAAAGGUAUUUUUAGAGAGGAGAGUCUCACCUCACAGUAUUCCGUGAUAAUGCAAAAAGUCUCCUGCUCCACGAAGCUUUCGUGGAAUCUGACAAUGGUGGGAUGAUGGAGCCUGGAGAGGAGCUGAGCUUCCACAUUGGCCUGCACGGUCUCAUUUGGAUUUAAUUCGCCAACAGAGAUUUCCUUCAGUACCUUUCUGUGGCCAAAAAACAAUAAAAAGCAAAGGAAGAAACGAAAAAGAAAGAAAAGGAGAAGAAAGAAAGACAUCAAGAGUUGAGAAGUCUGUUUCUCUGUUGGAAGGACGUGGUACAGAACCCCUCACCAUGCCCAGGAAAUAAUCAGCUGCUCCAGGGCCUAGUUCUACCUGCUAUGGGUCUGAGGCCCUGGGUCCCUGCCUGUCCCACCCAGUACCAUGGUGCUCCACAGCCUCUGAAGGCCA
Molecule: long non-coding RNA, 664 nt
Filed under: Mus caroli (Ryukyu mouse)
Lineage: Eukaryota; Metazoa; Chordata; Mammalia; Rodentia; Muridae
Description: lncRNA (MGP_CAROLIEiJ_G0004235.1)
Source: RNAcentral